Molecule: ribosomal RNA, 428 nt
Filed under: uncultured bacterium
Lineage: Bacteria
Description: partial 16S ribosomal RNA
Rfam family: Bacterial small subunit ribosomal RNA
Source: RNAcentral
GUGGGGAAUAUUGCGCAAUGGGGGAAACCCUGACGCAGCAACGCCGCGUGAUUGAAGAAGGCCUUCGGGUUGUAAAGAUCUUUAAUUGGGGACGAAAUAAAUGACGGUACCCAAAGAAUAAGCUCCGGCUAACUACGUGCCAGCAGCCGCGGUAAUACGUAGGGAGCAAGCGUUAUCCGGAUUUACUGGGUGUAAAGGGCGAGUAGGCGGGCCGACAAGUUGGGAGUGAAAUCCGGGGGCUUAACCCCGGAACUGCUUUCAAAACUGUUGGUCUUGAGUGAUGGAGAGGCAGGCGGAAUUCCCAGUGUAGCGGUGAAAUGCGUAGAUAUUGGGAGGAACACCAGUGGCGAAGGCGGCCUGCUGGACAUUAACUGACGCUGAGGCGCGAAAGCGUGGGGAGCAAACAGGAUUAGAAACCCCGGUAGUCC